GGGACAACCCGCCGAAAGGCGGGCUAAACCCGCGUACAUGCCACCGGGGCAUCCCGGAGGCAGGAAAGGCUUCGGCCGGACAGGGAUGGGCAUGCGGCGCAUUAGGCAGUAGGCGGGGUAACGGCCCACCUAACCGACGAUGCGUAGGGGUUCUGAGAGGAAGGUCCCCCACACUGGUACUGAGACACGGACCAGACUCCUACGGGAGGCAGCAGUGAGGAAUAUUGGUCAAUGGUCGGGAGACUGAACCAGCCAAGCCGCGUGAGGGAGGAAGGUACAGAGUAUCGUAAACCUCUUUUGUCAGGGAACAAAGACUGGGACGCGUCCCCGGAUGAGUGUACCUGAAGAAAAAGCAUCGGCUAACUCCGUGCCAGCAGCCGCGGUAAUACGGAGGAUGCGAGCGUUAUCCGGAUUUAUUGGGUUUAAAGGGUGCGCAGGCGGUCUGUUAAGUCAGCGGUCAAAGCCCGGGGCUCAACCCCGGCCCGCCGUUGAAACUGGCAGUCUCGAGUUGGAGAGAAGUAUGCGGAAUGCGCGGUGUAGCGGUGAAAUGCGUAGAUAUCGCGCAGAACUCCGAUUGCGAAGGCAGCAUGCCGGCUCCACACUGACGCUGAGGCACGAAAGCGUGGGUAUCGAACAGGAUUAGAUACCCUGGUAGUCCACGCAGUAAAC
This 669-nucleotide ribosomal RNA is filed under the name uncultured bacterium. RNAcentral describes it as "bacterial SSU rRNA". It matches the Rfam family "Bacterial small subunit ribosomal RNA", at positions 140 to 807 of the family's 1533-position model. The record is from RNAcentral.